AAGAAAGAAGUUUAUAACUUAAGGAAUUAUAACAAAGAAGUAACACAUAAUAAGGUUGCCUUAUUUAGUGUGUAUCAAUCGAGUUUCUGACCUAUCAGCUUUUGAUGUUAGGGUAUUGGCCUAACAUGGCUAUGACGGGUAACGGGGAAUUAGAGUUCGAUUCCGGAGAGGGAGCCUGAGAAAUAGCUACCACAUCUAAGGAAGGCAGCAGGCGCGUAAAUUACCCAAUUCUAAAGAAGAGAGGUAGUGACAAGAAAUAACAAUACAAGGCCAUUUCAUGGUUUUGUAAUUGGAAUGAUGGGAAUUUAAAACCUUCCCAAAAUUCAAUUGGAGGGCAAGUCUGGUGCCAGCAGCCGCGGUAAUUCCAGCUCCAAUAGCGUAUAUUAAAAUUGUUGCAGUUAAAACGCUCGUAGUUGAAUUUCAAAGAAUCAAUAUUUUAAGUAAUACUUUUGCUAUAAGAUGCUUAGACAAUACAACGUAUCUGUUCUUUGCAUUCCUUAUGCAAAAUGUGUUCUUAUUAUAAAAAGGAUUCUUUUUAAAAUCUCUUUUGCUAUUUUUUAGUAUUGGAGAUUUUGUUACUUUGAGUAAAUUAGAGUGUUCAAAGCAAACAGUUAAAGCAUUUUU
RNAcentral lists this ribosomal RNA (624 nucleotides) under Plasmodium ovale curtisi. RNAcentral describes it as "SSU rRNA". It matches the Rfam family "Eukaryotic small subunit ribosomal RNA", at positions 224 to 800 of the family's 1831-position model. Lineage: Eukaryota; Apicomplexa; Aconoidasida; Haemosporida; Plasmodiidae. The record is from RNAcentral.